This 253-nucleotide ribosomal RNA is filed under the name uncultured bacterium. RNAcentral describes it as "partial 16S ribosomal RNA". It matches the Rfam family "Bacterial small subunit ribosomal RNA", at positions 524 to 776 of the family's 1533-position model. The record is from RNAcentral.
UACGUAGGGUGCGAGCGUUAGUCGGAAUUACUGGGCGUAAAGCGUGCGUAGGCGGUUCGUUAAGUUCGUUGUGAAAGCCCCGGGCUCAACCUGGGAAUGGCAAUGGAAACUGGCGGGCUGGAGUAUGGCAGAGGGGGGUGGAAUUCCGCGUGUAGCAGUGAAAUGCGUAGAGAUGCGGAGGAACACCGAUGGCGAAGGCAGCCCCCUGGGCCAAUACUGACGCUCAGGCACGAAAGCGUGGGGAGCAAACAGG